This 336-nucleotide transfer RNA is filed under the name Geobacillus kaustophilus. RNAcentral describes it as "partial 16S-23S ribosomal RNA intergenic spacer". The stretch from base 46 to 118 matches the Rfam family "tRNA". The record is from RNAcentral. Lineage: Bacteria; Bacillati; Bacillota; Bacilli; Caryophanales; Anoxybacillaceae.
UUAAGCGUGAGGUCGGUGGUUCAAGUCCACUUAGGCCCAUUGGAUGGGGCCUUAGCUCAGCUGGGAGAGCGCCUGCUUUGCAAGCAGGAGGUCAUCGGUUCGAUCCCGAUAGGCUCCACCAUAUCAAGGUAAGAGGUUUCAACGUAGUUGCUUUGCGUCUGCGUCUACAAGCGGAUUCGGAGAAGCUGAAUUCCUCGACGCAAACCAGCGAAGAAGCAGGUUCAAGGCAGCAACUUUGCAUCUGCGUCUUCUAGCAGAUUCGAGGAAGUGGGAUUCCUCGAUGCAAGACUGCAGAGAAGCAAAUUCAAGAAGCAGUCUCGUUCCUUGAAAACUAGA